RNAcentral lists this ribosomal RNA (471 nucleotides) under Clostridioides difficile. Its description in RNAcentral is "bacterial LSU rRNA". It matches the Rfam family "Bacterial large subunit ribosomal RNA", at positions 1189 to 1665 of the family's 2925-position model. Lineage: Bacteria; Bacillati; Bacillota; Clostridia; Peptostreptococcales; Peptostreptococcaceae. The record is from RNAcentral.
UACUACCGAAGCUACGGCAUCAGUAAUGAUGGGUAGGGGAGCUUCCCAUACGGGUUGAAGCAUGACCGUAAGGACAUGUGGACAGUAUGGGAGUGAGAAUGUUGGCAUGAGUAGCGAGAUGUGGGUGAGAAUCCCACAGGCCGUAAACCCAAGGUUUCCAGGGGAAGGUUCGUCCGCCCUGGGUUAGUCGGGACCUAAGCUGAGGCCGAAAGGCGUAGGGGAUGGACAACAGGUUGAUAUUCCUGUACUACCGAUAACCGUUUGAGAGAAGGGAUGACACAGUAGGAUAAGCUAAGCACACUGUUGGUUAUGUGUGCCCAAGCAUUGAGGCAGUCAAAGUAGGUAAAUCCGCUUUGAUAAUGCUGGGAUGUGAUGGGGAGCGAAAUUUAGUAGCGAAGUAGCUGAUUUCACACUGUCAAGAAAAGUCUCUAUCGAGGUUAAAGGUACCCGUACCGCAAACCGACACAGGUG